UACGUAGGGCGCAAGCGUAUCCGGAAUUAUUGGGCGUAAAGAGCUCGUAGGCGGCUUGUCACGUCUGCUGUGAAAUCCCGGGGCUCAACCCCGGGCGUGCAGUGGAUACGGGCUGGCUAGAGGCAGGCAGGGGAGAACGGAAUUCCCGGUGUAGCGGUGAAAUGCGCAGAUAUCAAGAGGAACACCUGCGGCGAAGGCGGGUUGCUGGGCCGACACUGACGCUGAGGCGCGAAAGCUAGGGGAGCGAACGGG
This 252-nucleotide ribosomal RNA is filed under the name uncultured bacterium. RNAcentral describes it as "partial 16S ribosomal RNA". It matches the Rfam family "Bacterial small subunit ribosomal RNA", at positions 524 to 776 of the family's 1533-position model. The record is from RNAcentral.